GGGAAGGGCCUUUGGAAAACCUUCCCAACUUGAAUGCCGAAGAGGGUAAGGGGAAUUCCCAUGGGUGGCGGGAAAAUGCGUAGAAUAUUAUGGAGGAACCACCAGUGGGGAAGGGGCCUUUCUGGGUUCUGUGAUGACGGUGAGGCUCGAAAGCGUGGGUAGCGACCAGGAUUGAAUACCCUGGUAGUCCACGCCGUAAACGAUGAGCGCUAAGGGUUGGAGGGUUUCCCGCCCCUUUCAGUGCUGGAGUUAACGCAUUAAGCACUCCGCCUGGGGGAGUACGGCCGCAAGGCUGAAACUCAAAGGAAUUGACGGGGACCCGCACAAGCGGUGGAGCAUGUGGUUUAAUUCGACGCAACGCGAAGAACCUUACCAGCUCUUGACAUCUUCUGUUCACCCUAGAGAUAGGGCUUCCCCUUCGGGGGCAGAAAGACAGGUGGUGCAUGGUUGUCGUCAGCUCGUGUCGUGAGAUGUUGGGUUAAGUCCCAUAACGAGCGCAACCCUUAUUGUUAGUUGCCAGCAUUCAGUUGGGCACUCUAGCGAGACUGCCGGUGAUAAACCGGAGGAAGGUGGGGAUGACGUCAAAUCAUCAUGCCCCUUAUGAGCUGGGCUACACACGUGCUACAAUGGACGGUACAACGGGUAGCGAGGGCGCGAGCCUUAGCAAAUCCUAAUAAGCCGUUCUCAGUUCGGAUUGUUCUCUGCAACUCGAGAGCAUGAAGCCGGAAUCGCUAGUAAUCGCGGAUCAGAAUGCCGCGGUGAAUACGUUCCCGGGUCUUGUACUCACCGCCCGUCA
RNAcentral lists this ribosomal RNA (796 nucleotides) under uncultured bacterium. RNAcentral's name for it is "bacterial SSU rRNA". It matches the Rfam family "Bacterial small subunit ribosomal RNA", at positions 613 to 1399 of the family's 1533-position model. The record is from RNAcentral.